GAACCAACCAUGAAAUUAUAGGAAGGGGCGUCCACACAAUGCAGCAUGGAAACCGAGCUCUUCUUGGAUCAAUGUGCAUAGUUGGUGAAACCCUUCCCUCAAUUGUCAUCACGUGCUCAGUGUCUUAACAGUGAAACUUCUCAUUUCCAAGUAAUAUGGGAUCACCACAUACUUUU
Long non-coding RNA from Juglans microcarpa x Juglans regia, 176 nucleotides. RefSeq lists it as uncharacterized. The transcript is spliced from 3 exons. NCBI's taxonomy places the organism in Eukaryota, Viridiplantae, Streptophyta, Magnoliopsida, Fagales, Juglandaceae. The record is from RefSeq and is a predicted model, not a curated record.